Molecule: ribosomal RNA, 497 nt
Filed under: uncultured bacterium
Lineage: Bacteria
Description: partial 16S ribosomal RNA
Rfam family: Bacterial small subunit ribosomal RNA
Source: RNAcentral
GAUGAACGCUGGCGGCGUGCCUAAUACAUGCAAGUCGAGCGAACAGACGAGGAGCUUGCUCCUCUGACGUUAGCGGCGGACGGGUGAGUAACACGUGGAUAACCUACCUAUAAGACUGGGAUAACUUCGGGAAACCGGAGCUAAUACCGGAUAAUAUAUUGAACCGCAUGGUUCAAUAGUGAAAGACGGUUUUGCUGUCACUUAUAGAUGGAUCCGCGCCGCAUUAGCUAGUUGGUAAGGUAACGGCUUACCAAGGCAACGAUGCGUAGCCGACCUGAGAGGGGGAUCGGCCACACUGGAACUGAGAAACGGUCCAGACUCCUAAGGGAGGCAGCAGUAGGGAAUCUUCCGCAAUGGGCGAAAGCCUGACGGAGCAACGCCGCGUGAGUGAUGAAGGGCUUCGGAUCGUAAAACUCUGUUAUUAGGGAAGAACAAAUGUGUAAGUAACUAUGCACGUCUUGACGGUACCUAAUCAGAAAGCCAAGGCUAACUACGUG